This 253-nucleotide ribosomal RNA is filed under the name uncultured bacterium. RNAcentral describes it as "partial 16S ribosomal RNA". It matches the Rfam family "Bacterial small subunit ribosomal RNA", at positions 524 to 776 of the family's 1533-position model. The record is from RNAcentral.
UACGAAGGGGGCUAGCGUUGCUCGGAAUCACUGGGCGUAAAGCGCACGUAGGCGGACUCUUAAGUCGGUGGUGAAAUCCUGGAGCUCAACUCCAGAACUGCCUUCGAUACUGGGAGUCUCGAGUCCGGGAGAGGUGAGUGGAACUGCGAGUGUAGAGGUGAAAUUCGUAGAUAUCUGGAGGAACACCGGUGGCGAAGGCGGCGUUCUGGACUGCAACUGACACUGAGGGACGAAAGCUAGGGGAGCGAAUGGG